This 497-nucleotide ribosomal RNA is filed under the name uncultured bacterium. RNAcentral describes it as "partial 16S ribosomal RNA". It matches the Rfam family "Bacterial small subunit ribosomal RNA", at positions 28 to 507 of the family's 1533-position model. The record is from RNAcentral.
GACGAACGCUGGCGGCGUGCCUAAUACAUGCAAGUUGAGCGCUGAAGGUUGGUACUUGUACCAACUGGAUGAGCAGCGAACGGGUGAGUAACGCGUGGGGAAUCUGCCUUUGAGCGGGGGACAACAUUUGGAAACGAAUGCUAAUACCGCAUAAAAUCUUUAAACACAAGUUUUAAGUUUGAAAGAUGCAAUUGCAUCACUCAAAGAUGAUCCCGCGUUGUAUUAGCUAGGUGGUGAGGUAAAGGCUCACCAAGGCGAUGAUACAUAGCCGACCUGAGAGGGUGAUCGGCCACAUUGGGACUGAGACACGGCCCAAACUCCUACGGGAGGCAGCAGUAGGGAAUCUUCGGCAAUAGACGAAAGUCUGACCGGGCAACGCCGCGUGAGUGAAGAAGGGUGUCGGAUCGUAAAACUCUGUUGGUAGGGAAGGACGUUGGUGAGAGUGGAAAGCGCAUCAAGUGACGGUAACUACCCAGAAAGGGACGGCUAACUACGUG